UCAAGCGACGAAGCAACCUCUGUACGAGAACUUCUGGGAUGUGCAUUUGUCUUGGGGAAAUUAGUGAUGUAUCUUUGAGAAGGAACGCUUGGUUUUCUUUGAUUAGUGAUGCUGUGUGGUUUUAUGGUUCAUUGCCUGAACAAUUUGUGCCCAACCAUGCAAGACAACCCCAAAUGCAGCCUAAAUCUGUGUACAUAAAUAUGAUGGAUCUGAGCUCUCUCGAAACCUAAUAUAUUGGGUCCAAUCUGCUGUUUUUUUAACUUGCUAAAAAAAGCUAUGUUUGGUGAUAUGCAAGAUUUGUAUUUUAUUUAAUAAACGAAGGUUGUUUUUGAAGUAUCUUUCAUAAAAAAAAAAAAGGUUGUUUGAAAUCUUGUUCAAGUAUAUCACUGAUACUUCACAAAAUCACCAAAAGUUUAUUGAAAAAUUCUUUUUUUAGUUCUAUGCAUUUUCAGUGCUUUCCCCAAAAUAGAGAUGUUGGUGCAUUCCACUAGAAUAUCUGGCAAUUACUUUUAUCUUAAAAUUUUUAUUAACAAGUCCCAUCAAGAGUUCUGUGUGUGUUCUUUGUGAUUUCUUCAGUUCAUAAUAUCUGUCUUGGCAGGUCAAAGAAGAGGAUGAUGCAAAUGCUGCACGGAAACUGCAAAUUAAUUUGAAGCAAAGGAGACAGAGAAAUCGAUGUUGUCAGAUUUUAUGGGAAAUUGGAACACCUAGGUACACUGGUUCUGGAACCACAUGGAUAAAGGCGCAGGCCUCCGCCUUUGAAUCGUUGGCCCAUUAUGAGGAUAUCAACUGAACUUGCUG
Long non-coding RNA from Magnolia sinica, 798 nucleotides. RefSeq lists it as uncharacterized. The transcript has 3 exons. NCBI's taxonomy places the organism in Eukaryota, Viridiplantae, Streptophyta, Magnoliopsida, Magnoliales, Magnoliaceae. The record is from RefSeq and is a predicted model, not a curated record.